UUAUUUCAUAGUUCAUUGUUGAAAAAACGCCACAUGGGCGUUUGAAUCAUUUUAUGGUUUAAUACGGUGCAGCAUACGUGGGAAUGGA
This 88-nucleotide transfer RNA is filed under the name Streptococcus sanguinis. RNAcentral's name for it is "tRNA-Met". The record is from RNAcentral. Lineage: Bacteria; Bacillati; Bacillota; Bacilli; Lactobacillales; Streptococcaceae.